GGAAGUAAAAGUCUAACAAGGUUUCCGUAGGUGAACCUGCGGAAGGAUCAUUAAUGAGUUGUCAUGGGGUUCGAUGCUGGCAGCCAAUUUUUGGAUGCAUGUGCUUGCCCUAACAAUCAUCUUCCAAACACCUGUGCACAUUUUUGAGGGAGUCUUGAGUUGGUUGCCGCUCUUGGGUGAUUUUCUCACAUUCCCUUAAAUCAUUAUACGCUAUUAACAAUGUUGAACGUGCUCUGUGCCGCAAGGCUAUUAAUAUAAUACAACUUUUAACAACGGAUCUCUUGGCUCUC
This 290-nucleotide unclassified non-coding RNA is filed under the name plant metagenome. RNAcentral's name for it is "partial contains small subunit ribosomal RNA, internal transcribed spacer 1, and 5.8S ribosomal RNA". The stretch from base 1 to 53 matches the Rfam family "Eukaryotic small subunit ribosomal RNA", at positions 1778 to 1831 of the family's 1831-position model. The record is from RNAcentral.